Molecule: small RNA, 127 nt
Filed under: Marmota monax (woodchuck)
Lineage: Eukaryota; Metazoa; Chordata; Mammalia; Rodentia; Sciuridae
Source: RNAcentral
GUUGGGUACGGUGGCACAUGCCUAUAAUCCCAGUUACUCGGGAGGCUGAGGCAGGAGGAUUGCAGGUUCCAGGCCAUCCUCAGCAACUUAGUGAGGCCCUAAGCAACUUAGCUAGACCCUGUCUCAA